GCCCCCUGCAAUAAAAAAAUUUCGCUGCAAAGCUAAUUAAGAAAAACAUUUCAUCUCAAACCUAAGGACCAUUUCCACGCUCAGUACUCCCUCUUCUUCCCUCAGCUUUCCCUGCGUACUCUCUCACCUCCUCAUUCUUCUUCUUCUUCAUCUGCUCUCUUUCUCUCUCUAAUUCGUGGUUUUUUUGGGUUUUUUGCAAGUAAUUGUUGAAAUUGGGUGAAAAUUCGUCUUGGUUUUUGUGAAAAUUUGCUCGACUCCUUCUCUCCAAGCAUCUGGCCUUCGACCUCAGCCUUCGAACUCAGCCGCCGUCGAACUCAGCCGUCGAACUCAGCAACUCAGGCGUUGCUCGGCCCUGCGUCGCUGUCUUCGCCGAUGGGUUGUUUUUCCUGGGAAAAUAUUCAUUCAAUUGAGAAACAAACAUUGUGUUCCUUUUUCAAUGGGAAGGUGGAAAAUCGGACUCCGGAUGUCUACAAGGAGAUACGGACUUGGAUUAUGAAGAGGUUUCAUGCCAAUCCAAGCACAAACAUUGAACUGAAAGAUCUGUCGGAGCUGUUUAUUGGGGAUAUAGAUGCAAGAUGUUGACAAGGCAGAGCAAAUAGACUCUUUAAUUGAAAAGUUUUAUCAGUUACAACAUAAGCAAUCCUCUGUACUAUUAGUUCCAAGAGCCAACGUGUCAACAGCGGCAGUGCCUUCAGGCCUAUUUCCGGAGUCGAUCACAGAAGAGUUGGUAGAACAAGAGGGACCUGCAGUUGAGUAUCAUUGCAACUCUUCUUCUGUUGAUUGUUCUUGCAGUUGAGCAGGUGAUGGGAAGGUCUUCACCAAAUGACAAGCUACAGGCCUAUAAAAGGACAGUCUGCUGGACCAGCGUAGGAGAAGUGCAGACAUCGAGGAUGAUUUUUCGAUGAAAUUGGCUGAUAUGUUAAAAUAGUUCAAUGAAUGCUCUAGUUCUUUGAGUAGGCACAGAGAGAUGGACAGAGAGCUUGAAUUGAAGGAACACUAAUGUCCCUGUCUUCCCUGAAGAAGUAUGUGUCACCUAGUUGGGGGCAGCCAUUUGUAGGAGCUAGCAUUUUGGCAGUUUCAGGGAAUGGAGCUAGCAUUUGGAGAGAGGCUGAACUUGAAUCUUGGGACGACAAACUCAAUAAAGGCCUGGUUGUAUUUCGUGACGAUGGAAGCUCAGAGACGGUGGGGGCAGAAGCAAUGUCAUUAUCAUUCGAGUGAGAGAUCGAAGUAGACUGAUCAUAAGACUCUACGAAGGCUUGCUCAGAACCGUGAGGCAGCAAGGAAAAGCCGGUUGAGGAAAAAAGUCUACACUCCGAGGAUUGCGCCUUAUGCGAGGAAUUUGAUGUGGUUCGUGAGCAAUGGGCCAAGUUUUUUACCAGCAAGUAUUUAUUAUUGGCUUUAGCGCGCUUGAUCGAGUUGGUUUAGUUGUUAUAGAAUAAAUUUUAUAUUAAAAUGUAUGUUUAUGUUGAAAUUGGAACAUAUAUUUAAAUGUAAUAUGUGCACUUAAUUUGGUUUUGGGAUAUAUAGUAUACAAAACUCCAGUUGUUGUUUUUA
This is a long non-coding RNA of Spinacia oleracea (spinach), 1554 nucleotides long. RefSeq lists it as uncharacterized. The record is from RefSeq and is a predicted model, not a curated record. The transcript is spliced from 7 exons. Lineage: Eukaryota; Viridiplantae; Streptophyta; Magnoliopsida; Caryophyllales; Amaranthaceae.